UGGGGAAUUUUGGACAAUGGGGGCAACCCUGAUCCAGCAAUGCCGCGUGAGUGAAGAAGGCCUUCGGGUUGUAAAGCUCUUUUGUCCGGGAAGAAAUCCCAUCUGUUAAUACCGGGUGGGGAUGACGGUACUGGAAGAAUAAGCACCGGCUAACUACGUGCCAGCAGCCGCGGUAAUACGUAGGGUGCAAGCGUUAAUCGGAAUUACUGGGCGUAAAGCGUGCGCAGGCGGUUGUGCAAGACCGAUGUGAAAUCCCCGGGCUUAACCUGGGAACUGCAUUGGUGACUGCACGGCUAGAGUGUGUCAGAGGGGGGUAGAAUUCCACGUGUAGCAGUGAAAUGCGUAGAGAUGUGGAGGAAUACCGAUGGCGAAGGCAGCCCCCUGGGAUAACACUGACGCUCAUGCACGAAAGCGUGGGGAGCAAACAGG
RNAcentral lists this ribosomal RNA (429 nucleotides) under uncultured bacterium. RNAcentral's name for it is "bacterial SSU rRNA". It matches the Rfam family "Bacterial small subunit ribosomal RNA", at positions 355 to 776 of the family's 1533-position model. The record is from RNAcentral.